GAAAUGCGAUAAGUAAUGUGAAUUGCAGAAUUCAGUGAAUCAUCGAAUCUUUGAACGCAGCUUGCGCUCCUUGGUAUUCCUUGGAGCAUGCCUGUUUGAUUAUCAUGAAAUCUUCAAAGUAAAUCUUUUGUUAACUCAAUUGGUUUCUACUUUGGUAUUGGAGGUCUUUGCAGCUUCACACCUGCUCCUCUUUGUUCAUUAGCUGGAUCUCAGUGUUAUGCUUGGUUCCACUCGGCGUGAUAAGUUAUCUAUCGCUGAGGACACUGUAAAAGGUGGCCAAGGUAAAUGCAGAUGAACCGCUUCUAAUAGUCCAUUGACUUGGACAAUACUUUUAUGAUCUGAUCUCAAAUCAGGUAGGACUACCCGCUGAACUUAAGC
RNAcentral lists this unclassified non-coding RNA (378 nucleotides) under plant metagenome. RNAcentral's name for it is "partial contains 5.8S ribosomal RNA, internal transcribed spacer 2, and large subunit ribosomal RNA". The stretch from base 1 to 105 matches the Rfam family "5.8S ribosomal RNA", at positions 50 to 154 of the family's 154-position model. The record is from RNAcentral.